Molecule: ribosomal RNA, 440 nt
Filed under: uncultured bacterium
Lineage: Bacteria
Description: bacterial SSU rRNA
Rfam family: Bacterial small subunit ribosomal RNA
Source: RNAcentral
CAACCCUGGCGGCGAGCGGCGAACGGGUGAGUAACACAUCGGAACGUACCCUAUCGGUGGGGGAUAACGAAUCGAAAGAUUCGCUAAUACCGCAUACGACCUGGAGGGUAGAAAGGCGGGGGAUCGCAAGACCUCGCGCGACAGGAGCGGCCGAUGGCGGAUUAGCUUAGGUUGGGUAGGGGUAAAGGCUCACCAAGGCGACGACUCCGUAGCGGGUCUGAGAGGACGGCCCGCCACACUGGGACUGAGACACGGCCCAGACUCCUACGGGAGGCAGCAGUGGGGAAUUUUGGACAAUGGGGGCAACCCUGAUCCAGCCAUUCCGCGUGAGUGAAGAAGGCCUUCGGGUUGUAAAGCUCUUUCGGCAGAAACGAAACGGCGGGCUCUAACAUAGCCCGUCAAUGACGGUACCUGAAGAAGAAGCACCGGCUAACUACGUG